GGCUCCGUGGCUUAGUCUUAGUAAAAGGCGCCUGUCUCGUAAACAGGAGGUCCUGGGUUCAAAUCCCAGUGGGGCUU
This 77-nucleotide transfer RNA is filed under the name Ornithorhynchus anatinus (platypus). Its description in RNAcentral is "tRNA-Thr (CGT) (tRNA-Thr-CGT-9-1)". It matches the Rfam family "tRNA". From Rfam's summary of the family: Transfer RNA (tRNA) molecules are approximately 80 nucleotides in length. Lineage: Eukaryota; Metazoa; Chordata; Mammalia; Monotremata; Ornithorhynchidae. The record is from RNAcentral.